This 253-nucleotide ribosomal RNA is filed under the name uncultured bacterium. RNAcentral's name for it is "partial 16S ribosomal RNA". It matches the Rfam family "Bacterial small subunit ribosomal RNA", at positions 524 to 776 of the family's 1533-position model. The record is from RNAcentral.
UACGAGGGGGGCAAGCGUUGUCCGGAAUCAUUGGGCGUAAAGAGCGUGUAGGCGGCCCGGUAAGUCCGCUGUGAAAGUCGGGGGCUCAACCCUCGAAUGCCGGUGGAUACUGUCGGGCUAGAGUGCGGAAGAGGCGAGUGGAAUUCCUGGUGUAGCGGUGAAAUGCGCAGAUAUCAGGAGGAACACCAAUUGCGAAGGCAGCUCGCUGGGACGUAACUGACGCUGAGACGCGAAAGCGUGGGGAGCAAACAGG